RNAcentral lists this ribosomal RNA (959 nucleotides) under Rhinebothrium megacanthophallus. RNAcentral's name for it is "16S ribosomal RNA". The stretch from base 634 to 920 matches the Rfam family "Archaeal large subunit ribosomal RNA", at positions 2148 to 2718 of the family's 2987-position model. Lineage: Eukaryota; Metazoa; Platyhelminthes; Cestoda; Rhinebothriidea; Rhinebothriidae. The record is from RNAcentral.
AGCAUUAUUCUAUUAGUUAAUAGCAGGUUGAUUGUGCCUUUUGCAUCAUGCUUAGGCGAUUGUAAUAAGACAUUCUUUUUAAUCGAAAGCUUUGGAUCUUAAUAAUUCUUGAUUAGUAUGAUGCCGGGUAGGCUGUAUGUAAAGUAUUAUUAUGUUGUGAUAAAUCAUACGGCAGAGCUUAUAGCUAUUUUAUGACUCUAAUCUUUGAAAUAUCACUCAGGCGAUGAUGUCUGGGUGAGGUGUAUACAUUUUAUAAGUGAUGAUUUGAAUUUAAGGUUAAAAUUACCUUUAUUUUGAGAAUCUGUUAAAAGUUUUUUUAGUUAUUUACGUAGCGUUACAUAAAAAGUCAUAUUUUUUAAUUCAUUGUUAAUUAAUAAUGCUUAAAUAAGUAAUAUUAAUAUUUUCAUUGUUUCUCAAGUAUCUCCCGUCUGUUUAUUAAAAACAUUUCCAUAAUAAAGUUUUUAUGGUAGUACCUGCUCUAUGUAUUUAUAAAUGGCCGCAGUAUAUUGACUGUGCGAAGGUAGCAUAAUUAAUUGCCUCAUAAUUGGAGGCUUGUCUGAAUGGUUUGACGAGGGGAUUAUGAACAUUGUAGAUUUUGUUGAAAUUACUAUGGAGGGUACAGAAGCCUCUAUAAUUAAUUAGACGGAAAGACCCCGGGAUCUUCUAAUUUUGCCUGGGGCAGGUAUAUAUAUUUCAAGUUUAUUAUGACCCUUAAAUUUGGUAUAGUGAGUCAAGUUACCCCGGGGAUAACAGUAUAAUAGCUUAAUAGAGAUCUUAUCGAAUAAGCUGUUUGUCACCUCGAUGUUGACUUAGAAUUAAGCUUUGGCGCAGUAGCUUUAGUUUCAGGUCUGUUCGACCUAAUAUUUCUCCAUGAGUUGAGUUAAGACCGGUGUAAGCCAGGUCGGUUCUUAUCUAUUGAUCUAGUUUAUUAGUACGAAAGGACCAUAAAUUGUUUUUUU